Molecule: ribosomal RNA, 940 nt
Filed under: uncultured bacterium
Lineage: Bacteria
Description: bacterial SSU rRNA
Rfam family: Bacterial small subunit ribosomal RNA
Source: RNAcentral
AGAGUUUGAUCAUGGCUCAGGAUAAACGCUGGCGGCGUGCCUAACACAUGCAAGUCGAACGCGCCUAUGCAAAUAGGCGAGUGGCGGACGGGUGAGGAACACGUGGGUUAUCUACCUUGAGGUGAGGAAUACCGGCGAGAAAUCGCCGACAAUACCGCAUAGGUUUCGCAAGAAACAAAGUCCCGGCAACGGGACGCCACAAGAUGAGCCUGCGCCCGAUUAGCUACGUUGGUGGGGUAACGGCCUACCAAGGCAACAAUCGGUAGCUGGUCUGAGAGGACGAUCAGCCACACUGGGAUUGAGAACGGCCCAGACUCCUACGGGGGGCAGCAGUGAGGAAUUUUCGUCAAUGGGGGCAACCCUGAACGAGCAACGCCGCGUGCAGGAAGAAGGUUUUCGGAUCGUAAACUGCUUUUCCUGGGGAAGAGAACGGACGGUACCCAGGGAAUAAGCCCCGGCUAACUACGUGCCAGCAGCCGCGGUAAUACGUAGGGGGCAAGCGUUGUCCGGAUUUAUUGGGCGUAAAGCGCACGCAGGCGGUCUUUUAAGUUUCGAGUGACAGGUGGUGGCUUAACUGCCACAGGCCUUGGAAAACUGGAAGACUUGAGGACGAGAGAGGGACGCGGAAUUCCAGGUGGAGCGGUGAAAUGCGUAGAGAUCUGGAAGAACACCAAAGGCGAAGGCAGCGUUCUGGCUCGUAACUGACGCUCAUGUGCGAAAGCCAGGGGAGCGAACGGGAUUAGAUACCCCGGUAGUCCUGGCCGUAAACGAUGACCACUAGACGUAGGAGGUAUCGACCCCUUCUGUGUCGCAGCAAACGCACUAAGUGGUCCGCCUGGGGAGUACGGUCGCAAGAUUAAAACUCAAAGGAAUUGACGGGGACCCGCACAAGCAGCGGAGCGUGGUGGUUUAAUUCGAUGCAACGCGAAGAACCUUACCA